This 433-nucleotide ribosomal RNA is filed under the name uncultured rumen bacterium. Its description in RNAcentral is "bacterial SSU rRNA". It matches the Rfam family "Bacterial small subunit ribosomal RNA", at positions 958 to 1392 of the family's 1533-position model. The record is from RNAcentral.
AACGCGAAGAACCUUACCAAGUCUUGACAUCCCAUUGACAGAGUAUGUGAUGUACUUUCCCCUCGGGGCAAUGGUGACAGGUGGUGCAUGGUUGUCGUCAGCUCGUGUCGUGAGAUGUUGGGUUAAGUCCCGCAACGAGCGCAACCCUUAUUUCCAGUAGCCAGCAGUAAGAUGGGCACUCUGGAGAGACUGCCAGGGAUAACCUGGAGGAAGGUGGGGAUGACGUCAAAUCAUCAUGCCCCUUAUGACUUGGGCGACACACGUGCUACAAUGGCGUAAACAAAGAGAAGCGAGAGCGUGAGCUUAAGCAAAUCCCAAAAAUAACGUCUCAGUUCGGACUGUAGUCUGCAACCCGACUACACGAAGCUGGAAUCGCUAGUAAUCGCGGAUCAGAAUGCCGCGGUGAAUACGUUCCCGGGUCUUGUACACACCG